This 253-nucleotide ribosomal RNA is filed under the name uncultured bacterium. Its description in RNAcentral is "partial 16S ribosomal RNA". It matches the Rfam family "Bacterial small subunit ribosomal RNA", at positions 524 to 776 of the family's 1533-position model. The record is from RNAcentral.
UACGGAGGGUGCAAGCGUUAAUCGGAAUUACUGGGCGUAAAGGGAGCGCAGGCGGUUCAUUCAGUUAGGCGUGAAAGCCCCGGGCUCAACCUGGGAACUGCAUCCGAUACUGGAUCACUAGAAUGCGGGAGAGGGAGGUAGAAUUCCAUGUGUAGCGGUGAAAUGCGUAGAUAUGUGGAGGAAUACCAGUGGCGAAGGCGGCCUCCUGGCUCGACACUGACACUGAGGUGCGAAAGCGUGGGGAGCAAACAGG